CUCUCUUCCCUCAUCUACCCAUUUCUCAUCUCUGGAUGUAAACGCAGCUACUGAAACUUUAUGCUCUACCUUAACUUCUUGUCUAGAGGACAUUUGUCCUCUCUCCUCUAGGUCAGCACGGACUGCCCCUUCUAACCCCUGGUUAUCUGAUGUUCUUCGUGAACAUCGGACUAAACUCAGAGCGGCAGAGAGAAAAUGGCACAAAUCAAACAACCCGUCGGACCUGAAACAACAAACUGGACGCUAAACAGUCAGGUUUCAGGAGUGGCCAUUCAACUGAGACUGCACUUCUCUCGGUCACUGAAGCCCUGCGAAUUGCAAAAGCCCAUUCCAAAUCAUCAGUCCUCAUUCUGCUGGAUCUAUCUGCCGCGUUUGACACUGUCAAUCAUCAGAUACUCCUCUCCACCCUCUCAUCACUGGGCAUCGCUGGAAUUCCACUUCGCUGGUUUGAAUCCUAUCUCACUGAUGAUCCAACGGUAGCUGCAAGGAUCUCAGGUUGCCUGGCGGACAUCUCGGCAUGGAUGAAAGAACAUCACCUCCAGCUCAACCUGGCAAAGACUGAGCUUCUUGUCUUUCCUGCCGCUCCAACUCUACAGCAUGACAUCACAAUCCAGUUAGGUUCAUCAACAAUUACCCCAUCAACUUCGGUCAGAAAUCUUGGUGUAAUCUUUGAUGACCAGCUGACCUUCAAAGACCACAUUGCAAAGACUGCUCGAUCUUGCAGGUUUGCACUACACAACAUCAGAAAGAUCAGGCCCUUUCUGACGGAGCAUGCUGCACAACUUCUUGUCCAGGCCCUUGUCAUUUCUAGGCUGGACUACUGCAAUGCUCUUCUGGCUGGACUUCCAUCAAACACAGUCAAACCUCUACAAAUGAU
Molecule: long non-coding RNA, 877 nt
Organism: Onychostoma macrolepis
Lineage: Eukaryota; Metazoa; Chordata; Actinopteri; Cypriniformes; Cyprinidae
Exons: 3
Source: RefSeq, a predicted model, not a curated record